GUGAUUCAUAUCCCACUUUGGGAAAGAGAGAGAUACGAUCCAAUUAUUUGUGCUUUUCCAGCCCUACCCCCUUGAAGUGAUAGAGGCUUAGGUGGUUUGGAUUCCGAGGCGGGACCCAAGACCACUUGCUUUGAGAACGGUUCACCCAAUCAGUUCAUCCUUCUCUUUUCCUGGCCAGACUCUGAAUACAUCCUUGCUUUAAAUAAGGUCUACAGAUGAUGAAUAUUCAUCUGUUGAACGUACGAACCCGCACUGGAAACGGACCUGUUCUUCUAGCGCUUCCAUGAGGCAUUCCAUCAAAACGAAUAGACUAGAUUACUUCCCCAGUGACCUUUGCUAGUAUUUUCAACUGAAAUUUCACAAGAAUUUGAUCAACACCCCUGCUUGGGGCAUCUACCCAGCUGCCUGAUUUACAUGGACUCUACGGAGCUUAGAGAGGAGAUACAAGAUCAUCAAGUCAGACACAGUCUCCCUGUUCCACACAGGGCUCACAGUCUAAAAGAGGAGAGAGAACAGGCGAUUUUUAAGAUAAUGGUGAGAUCUUAUCGACGUGUGCCUGAAACACUCAUGGGUGACGACUUUG
Tachyglossus aculeatus (Australian echidna) is the source of this 583-nucleotide long non-coding RNA. RefSeq lists it as uncharacterized. The record is from RefSeq and is a predicted model, not a curated record. The transcript is spliced from 3 exons. NCBI's taxonomy places the organism in Eukaryota, Metazoa, Chordata, Mammalia, Monotremata, Tachyglossidae.